This 23-nucleotide non-coding RNA is filed under the name Gadus morhua (Atlantic cod). Its record names the gene gmo-let-7i-5p. The record is from miRBase by way of RNAcentral. RNAcentral also lists the same sequence under 1 other name. Lineage: Eukaryota; Metazoa; Chordata; Actinopteri; Gadiformes; Gadidae.
CUGAGGUAGUAGUUUGUGCUGUU